UACAGAGGUCUCAAGCGUUGUUCGGAUUCAUUGGGCGUAAAGGGUGCGUAGGCGGUGAGGCAAGUUGGAUGUGGAAUCCCAGGGCUUAACCCUGGAACUGCAUUCAAUACUGCCUUGCUAGAGUACUGGAGAGGAAAUUGGAAUUCACGGUGUAGCAGUGAAAUGCGUAGAUAUCGUGAGGAAGACCAGUGGCGAAGGCGAAUCUCUGGACAGUUACUGACGCUGAGGCACGAAGGCUAGGGGAGCGAACGGG
RNAcentral lists this ribosomal RNA (253 nucleotides) under uncultured prokaryote. Its description in RNAcentral is "partial 16S ribosomal RNA". It matches the Rfam family "Bacterial small subunit ribosomal RNA", at positions 524 to 776 of the family's 1533-position model. The record is from RNAcentral.